AUUGAACGCUGGCGGCAUGCUUUACACAUGCAAGUCGAACGGUAACAGGCCGCAAGGUGCUGACGAGUGGCGAACGGGUGAGUAAUGCAUCGGAACGUGCCCAGUCGUGGGGGAUAACGCAGCGAAAGCUGUGCUAAUACCGCAUACGAUCUAUGGAUGAAAGCGGGGGACCGUAAGGCCUCGCGCGAUUGGAGCGGCCGAUGUCAGAUUAGGUAGUUGGUGGGGUAAAGGCCCACCAAGCCAACGAUCUGUAGCUGGUCUGAGAGGACGACCAGCCACACUGGGACUGAGACACGGCCCAGACUCCUACGGGAGGCAGCAGUGGGGAAUUUUGGACAAUGGGCGCAAGCCUGAUCCAGCAAUGCCGCGUGCAGGAAGAAGGCCUUCGGGUUGUAAACUGCUUUUGUACGGAACGAAACGGUCCGGGCUAAUACCCUGGGCUAAUGACGGUACCGUAAGAAUAAGCACCGGCUAACUACGUGCCAGCCGCCGCAGUAA
RNAcentral lists this ribosomal RNA (498 nucleotides) under uncultured bacterium. Its description in RNAcentral is "partial 16S ribosomal RNA". It matches the Rfam family "Bacterial small subunit ribosomal RNA", at positions 29 to 523 of the family's 1533-position model. The record is from RNAcentral.